Long non-coding RNA from Monomorium pharaonis (pharaoh ant), 603 nucleotides. RefSeq lists it as uncharacterized. Lineage: Eukaryota; Metazoa; Arthropoda; Insecta; Hymenoptera; Formicidae. The record is from RefSeq and is a predicted model, not a curated record. The transcript has 2 exons.
GUACGAUUAGCGUGGGCAUCCCGCAUCACUGCAAUCUCCAUCCAUCCAUAGCACAACAGCACUACCCAGUACCACAGUACUCGCCUGCGUACAACUUGGAGCAGGCUCGCAUUGUUUACUAUCUCCACUACUCCAGACCCCAGCCUCCGGCCCCAGCCCCCAUCCAGUCUCCGUAUGGGUACAAGAUGGUGGAUAGCAGUCAUGGUGGGGGGCCAUUGACGCAUCUUUGAUUAUAGGUCUUUAGUUACGGUAGGUUACGGUUAUGGUCGCCCAAUCCGACGCGUCAAAACCUUACGUUAUGGUUAUGUCAAUUCAUGUGUGAGGGCCUUUACUGAGGUGUUCAGAUCUAUAGCUAUUUCCUGAUUGAUUCUUAAGCUUAUGUUUACGUCUUAUGCUUAUGCUUACGGAAAUUCGUCAGAUGCGAUGGCCUAUACGCCUUCUGAAUAAAAACAUGGUCCCGAGGUGAGAUAGCUUAUCUUCUAUCCUUCAAGGCAAAAGAGACUACGCAUGCGCGAAAAGUUAGGCGCGGUAUAUGUAUUUUGGGCACAAUGCAAUGGUAUAAUGAAGUAUAUAAAUAUUCAAAUAAAAUGUAAAAUAUAAAAA